This 254-nucleotide ribosomal RNA is filed under the name uncultured bacterium. RNAcentral's name for it is "partial 16S ribosomal RNA". It matches the Rfam family "Bacterial small subunit ribosomal RNA", at positions 524 to 776 of the family's 1533-position model. The record is from RNAcentral.
CACGUAGGGUGCGAGCGUUGUCCGGAAUUAUUGGGCGUAAAGAGCUCGUAGGCGGUGUGUCGCGUCGGCCGUGAAAACCUGCAGCUUAACUGUGGGCUUGCGGUCGAUACGGGCAUCACUGGAGUUCGGCAGGGGAGACUGGAAUUCCUGGUGUAGCAGUGAAAUGCGUAGAUAUCGUAAGGAAGACCAGUGGCGAAGGCGAGUCUCUGGACAGCAACUGACGCUGAGGCACGAAGGCCAGGGGAGCAAACGGG